This 488-nucleotide ribosomal RNA is filed under the name uncultured soil bacterium. Its description in RNAcentral is "bacterial SSU rRNA". It matches the Rfam family "Bacterial small subunit ribosomal RNA", at positions 26 to 511 of the family's 1533-position model. The record is from RNAcentral.
AGAUUGAACGCUGGCGGCAGGCCUAACACAUGCAAGUCGAGCGGCAGCACGGGUACUUGUACCUGGUGGCGAGCGGCGGACGGGUGAGUAAUGCCUAGGAAUCUGCCUGGUAGUGGGGGAUAACGCUCGGAAACGGACGCUAAUACCGCAUACGUCCUACGGGAGAAAGCAGGGGACCUUCGGGCCUUGCGCUAUCAGAUGAGCCUAGGUCGGAUUAGCUAGUUGGUGAGGUAAUGGCUCACCAAGGCGACGAUCCGUAACUGGUCUGAGAGGAUGAUCAGUCACACUGGAACUGAGACACGGUCCAGACUCCUACGGGAGGCAGCAGUGGGGAAUAUUGGACAAUGGGCGAAAGCCUGAUCCAGCCAUGCCGCGUGUGUGAAGAAGGUCUUCGGAUUGUAAAGCACUUUAAGUUGGAGAAGGCAUUAACCUAAUACGUUAGUGUUUUGACGUUUACCGACAGAAUAAGCACGGCUAACUCGUGCCAG